RNAcentral lists this ribosomal RNA (370 nucleotides) under uncultured organism. RNAcentral's name for it is "partial 16S ribosomal RNA". It matches the Rfam family "Bacterial small subunit ribosomal RNA", at positions 526 to 896 of the family's 1533-position model. The record is from RNAcentral.
GUAGGGGUGCAAGCGUUAAUCGGAAUUACUGGGCGUAAAGCGUGCGCAGGCGGUUUUGUAAGUCUGACGUGAAAUCCCCGGGCCCAACCUGGGAAUUGCGUUGGAGACUGCAAGGCUAGAAUCUGGCAGAGGGGGGUAGAAUUCCACGUGUAGCAGUGAAAUGCGUAGAGAUGUGGAGGAACACCGAUGGCGAAGGCAGCCCCCUGGGUCAAGAUUGACGCUCAUGCACGAAAGCGUGGGGAGCAAACAGGAUUAGAUACCCUGGUAGUCCACGCCCUAAACGAUGUCUACUAGUUGUCGGGUUUUAAUUAACUUGGUAACGCAGCUAACGCGUGAAGUAGACCGCCUGGGGAGUACGGUCGCAAGAUUA